GGAAAGGUGCAGGAGUGGUUGAACUGGCUUGCCUGGAAAGCAAGUAUACUCGCAAGGGUAUCGAGGGUUCGAAUCCCUCUCUUUCCG
This 87-nucleotide transfer RNA is filed under the name Melioribacteraceae bacterium. RNAcentral describes it as "tRNA-Ser". It matches the Rfam family "tRNA". Rfam says of the family: Transfer RNA (tRNA) molecules are approximately 80 nucleotides in length. Their secondary structure includes four short double-helical elements and three loops (D, anti-codon, and T loops). Lineage: Bacteria; Pseudomonadati; Ignavibacteriota; Ignavibacteria; Ignavibacteriales; Melioribacteraceae. The record is from RNAcentral.